Molecule: ribosomal RNA, 269 nt
Filed under: uncultured archaeon
Lineage: Archaea
Description: partial 16S ribosomal RNA
Rfam family: Archaeal small subunit ribosomal RNA
Source: RNAcentral
AGCUCUCCGAGUGGUAGGGACAAUUAUUGGGCUUAAAGCGUCCGUAGCCGGCUUGGCAAGUCUUCUGUUAAAUUCAGCGACUUAAUCGUUGAGCCGCGGGAGAUACUACUAGGCUAGGAGGCGGGAGAGGCCGACGGUAUUCCCGGGGUAGGGGUGAAAUCCUAUAAUCCCGGGAGGACCACCAGUGGCGAAGGCUGUCGGCUAGAACGCGCUCGACGGUGAGGGACGAAAGCUGGGGGAGCGAACCGGAUUAGAUACCCGUGUAGUCC